This 539-nucleotide ribosomal RNA is filed under the name uncultured archaeon. Its description in RNAcentral is "bacterial SSU rRNA". It matches the Rfam family "Archaeal small subunit ribosomal RNA", at positions 460 to 997 of the family's 1478-position model. The record is from RNAcentral.
AGCAGCCGCGGUAACACCGGCGGCCCGAGUGGUGAUCGUGAUUAUUGGGUCUAAAGGGUCCGUAGCCGGUUUGGUCAGUCCUCCGGGAAAUCUGAUAGCUCAACUAUUAGGGCUUUCGGGGGAUACUGCCAGACUUGGAACCGGGAGAGGUAAGAGGUACUACAGGGGUAGGAGUGAAAUCUUGUAAUCCCUGUGGGACCACCUGUGGCGAAGGCGUCUUACCAGAACGGGUUCGACGGUGAGGGACGAAAGCUGGGGGCACGAACCGGAUUAGAUACCCGGGUAGUCCCAGCCGUAACGAUGCUCGCUAGGUGUCAGGCAUGGCGCGACCGUGUCUGGUGCCGCAGGGAAGCCGUGAAGCGAGCCACCUGGGAAGUACGGCCGCAAGGCUGAAACUUAAAGGAAUUGGCGGGGGAGCACAACAACGGGUGGGGGCCUGCGGUUUAAUUGGACUCAACGCCGGACAACUCACCGGGGGCGACAGCAAUAUGUAGGCCAAGCUGAAGACUUUGCCUGAAUCGCUGAGGGGUGGUGCAUGG